This is a long non-coding RNA of Maniola jurtina (meadow brown), 1166 nucleotides long. RefSeq lists it as uncharacterized. The transcript has 3 exons. NCBI's taxonomy places the organism in Eukaryota, Metazoa, Arthropoda, Insecta, Lepidoptera, Nymphalidae. The record is from RefSeq and is a predicted model, not a curated record.
GAUUCUCAAUUAUAUGAGUUUUACAUUUUAUUGAAAAAUUUCCUUAGGUGAAUUAUUUUUUGUAUUUUUUUUUACUAAUUAUUCUUUAAGUCUUUCAAAUAAUAUGUGAUUAGAGCUACUUUUUAAUCUUGUAAUUAGGCAUUUCGUAUGAUUUUUUUUUACUCGUUUUGCACGAAAUAUUAUUUUAUUAACUAUUUUAACCUAAACCGGAACCAUAAAUUAUUAUUAGAACAACGCUAUUUUUGUUAAGCUGGUAUCAUUUUUUUUUAAGUUUGACAUUUCUAGUCGUGGUUUUGGUCUCUGGGAUUAAAAAAUUGACUAUAGGCAUUACACUUGCACUUAAAUAAAAUAAAGCCAAUACUAAGUAGGUGUUUCUCAGAAAGUUUUUCUCUAGUAUGCAGUUCAGAAUUCCGAAAUCAAGACAUAUAAUUUUGACUUAAUUUUGAUUAAUUUGUUGGAUAGAACCAAGAAUAUUUACUUAAUACUUAAUAUUUACUCUACUAAUUUAGUAUAUACCAUACUUAAUUAGUAGAGUAAAUAUUAAGCAAAACCGGAAACCAGUUGGUAAUAAAGAUUCAUAUAUAUUUCAGUAAAAAUAUAUGUUACUAUGAAUUAAGGUAGAUUAGACUAUGUAUAUUCAGAGGGAAUGGGCGGAAUCAAUAAAAAUGCUGUCAGCGAGGCUCUCAGAAUUAUUUUAAAAUUACCUAUACAUAGAUUCUUGUAUUUCUUAUUAAUUAUUAUUAAUGAAAGUCCAUCGUGAUAUCUCUAAUGUAUUUUAAGUAGUCUCUUCGGUAAAAAUUCGAUAUUUUAGAAUGCAGCGUUACACAAUUUUUUAAUAUAAAAAUACUAAAACAUUUUAUAAUGUGAAAUAUAAUGAUAUAGCCCUCUAAGGGUUGAAAAUUCAACAAUAUAUACUAAUUUUUUGCUAUUAUCAAAUCACACACGCAACUAAGUCAUGCCAAACGUAUAAAAUUCGCAUACCAAGCACCUUUGACGAAAAGGCUAGCCUGUCGACUGAAGCGGAGCGGACAUGUUCUCAGUCAACCAAUCAAAUUUUGAGAGAUGACGUGAUAAUUUUUAUCGUUUUUAACCCCCGACCCAAAAAGUGGGGUGUUAUAAGUUUGACGUGUGUAUCUGUGUAUCUGUCUGUGGCACCGUAGCUCCUA